GAGGGUAUAGCUCAAAGUGGUAAAGCACAUGCUUAGCAUGCAUGAAGUCCUGGGUUCAGUCCCUAGUACCUCCA
This is a transfer RNA of Camelus ferus (Wild Bactrian camel), 74 nucleotides long. It matches the Rfam family "tRNA". Rfam says of the family: Transfer RNA (tRNA) molecules are approximately 80 nucleotides in length. Their secondary structure includes four short double-helical elements and three loops (D, anti-codon, and T loops). Lineage: Eukaryota; Metazoa; Chordata; Mammalia; Artiodactyla; Camelidae. The record is from Rfam.